CGGAAUGUGGCGCAGCUUGGUAGCGUGUCUGUCUUGGGCACAGAUGGUCGUGGGUUCAAAUCCCACCGUUCCGA
This 74-nucleotide transfer RNA is filed under the name Ophirina amphinema. Its description in RNAcentral is "tRNA-Pro". It matches the Rfam family "tRNA". Rfam says of the family: Transfer RNA (tRNA) molecules are approximately 80 nucleotides in length. Their secondary structure includes four short double-helical elements and three loops (D, anti-codon, and T loops). The record is from RNAcentral. Lineage: Eukaryota; Jakobea; Jakobida; Ophirinidae.